UAUCUACUCCCUCCGUCCAGAAAUACUUGUCAUCAAAAUGGAUAAAAGGAGAUGUAUCUAGACGCAUUUUAGUUCUAGAUACAUCUUUUUUUGUCCAUUUUGAUGACACGUAUUUCUGGAUGGAGGGAGUAUUUC
Molecule: non-coding RNA, 135 nt
Organism: Triticum aestivum (bread wheat)
Lineage: Eukaryota; Viridiplantae; Streptophyta; Magnoliopsida; Poales; Poaceae
Source: Rfam